RNAcentral lists this ribosomal RNA (465 nucleotides) under Vreelandella stevensii. Its description in RNAcentral is "partial 16S ribosomal RNA". It matches the Rfam family "Bacterial small subunit ribosomal RNA", at positions 338 to 795 of the family's 1533-position model. The record is from RNAcentral. Lineage: Bacteria; Pseudomonadati; Pseudomonadota; Gammaproteobacteria; Oceanospirillales; Halomonadaceae.
CCUACGGGAGGCUGCAGUGGGGAAUAUUGGACAAUGGGGACAACCCUGAUCCAGCCAUGCCGCGUGUGUGAAGAAGGCCCUCGGGUUGUAAAGCACUUUCAGUGAGGAAGAACGCCUGGUGGUUAAUACCCAUCAGGAAAGACAUCACUCACAGAAGAAGCACCGGCUAACUCCGUGCCAGCAGCCGCGGUAAUACGGAGGGUGCGAGCGUUAAUCGGAAUUACUGGGCGUAAAGCGCGCGUAGGUGGCUUGAUAAGCCGGUUGUGAAAGCCCCGGGCUCAACCUGGGAACGGCAUCCGGAACUGUCAAGCUAGAGUGCAGGAGAGGAAGGUAGAAUUCCCGGUGUAGCGGUGAAAUGCGUAGAGAUCGGGAGGAAUACCAGUGGCGAAGGCGGCCUUCUGGACUGACACUGACACUGAGGUGCGAAAGCGUGGGUAGCAAACAGGAUUAGAUACCCGAGUAGUC